RNAcentral lists this ribosomal RNA (545 nucleotides) under uncultured bacterium. RNAcentral's name for it is "bacterial SSU rRNA". It matches the Rfam family "Bacterial small subunit ribosomal RNA", at positions 229 to 807 of the family's 1533-position model. The record is from RNAcentral.
GGCCCCGGCCUAUCAGUUGUUGGUGGGGUAGUGGCCUACCAAGGCGACGACGGGUACCGGCCUGAGAGGUGACCGGCCACACUGGGACUGAGACACGGCCCAGACUCUACGGGAGGCGCAGUGGGGAAUAUUGCGCAAUGGGCGGAAGCCUGACGCGCGACGCCGCGGGGGGAUGACGGCCUUCGGGUUGUAAACCUCUUUCAGCAGGACGAAGCGGAGUGACGGUACCUGCAGAAGAAGCACCGGCCAACUACGUGCAGCAGCCGCGUAAUACGUAGGGUGCAAGCGUUGUCCGGAAUUAUUGGGCGAAAGAGCUCGUGGCGGUCUGUCGCGUCGGCUGUGAAAUCCCGAGGCUCAACUCGGGUCUGCAGCGAUACGGGCAAACUAGAGUAUUGCAGGGGAGACUGGAAUCCUGGUGUAGCGUGAAAUGCGCAGAUAUCAGGAGGAACACCGGUGGCGAAGCGGGUCUCUGGCAAUAACUGACGCUGAGGAGCGAAAGCGUGGGGAGCGACAGGAUUAGAUACCUGGUAGUCCACGCCGUAAAC